GAUGAACGCUGGCGGCGCGCCUAACACAUGCAAGUCGAACGAUUAAAGCACCUUCGGGUGUGUAUAAAGUGGCGAACGGCUGAGUAACACGUGGGCAACCUGCCCCUUUCAUUGGGAUAGCCACGGGAAACCGUGGAUAAUACCGAAUACUUCGAGACUUCCGCAUGGAAGACUCGAGAAAGCUCCGGCGGAGAGGGAUGGGCCCGCGGCCUGUUAGCUUGUUGGUGGGGUAACGGCCUACCAAGGCAAUGAUGGGUAGCUGGGUUGAGAGACCGACCAGCCAGAUUGGGACUGAGACACGGCCCAGACUCCUACGGGAGGCAGCAGUGGGGAAUCUUGCACAAUGGGCGAAAGCCUGAUGCAGCGACGCCGCGUGCGGGAUGAAGGCCUUCGGGUUGUAAACCGCUUUCAGCAGGGAUGAGGCGAAAGUGACGGUACCUGCAGAAGAAGCCCCGGCUAACUACGUG
Molecule: ribosomal RNA, 467 nt
Filed under: uncultured bacterium
Lineage: Bacteria
Description: partial 16S ribosomal RNA
Rfam family: Bacterial small subunit ribosomal RNA
Source: RNAcentral